This 464-nucleotide ribosomal RNA is filed under the name Vreelandella stevensii. RNAcentral describes it as "partial 16S ribosomal RNA". It matches the Rfam family "Bacterial small subunit ribosomal RNA", at positions 338 to 795 of the family's 1533-position model. The record is from RNAcentral. Lineage: Bacteria; Pseudomonadati; Pseudomonadota; Gammaproteobacteria; Oceanospirillales; Halomonadaceae.
CCUAGUGUGGCAGCAGUGGGGAAUAUUGGACAAUGGGCGAAAGCCUGAUCCAGCCAUGCCGCGUGUGUGAAGAAGGCCUUCGGGUUGUAAAGCACUUUCAGUGGGGAAGAAAGCCUUGGGGCUAAUACCCUCGAGGAAGGACAUCACCCACAGAAGAAGCACCGGCUAACUCCGUGCCAGCAGCCGCGGUAAUACGGAGGGUGCGAGCGUUAAUCGGAAUUACUGGGCGUAAAGCGCGCGUAGGCGGUCUGAUAAGCCGGUUGUGAAAGCCCCGGGCUCAACCUGGGAACGGCAUCCGGAACUGUCAGGCUAGAGUGCAGGAGAGGAAGGUAGAAUUCCCGGUGUAGCGGUGAAAUGCGUAGAGAUCGGGAGGAAUACCAGUGGCGAAGGCGGCCUUCUGGACUGACACUGACGCUGAGGUGCGAAAGCGUGGGUAGCAAACAGGAUUAGCUACCCGGGUAGUC